GAACUGCGAUAAGUAAUGUGAAUUGCAGAAUUCAGUGAAUCAUCGAGUCUUUGAACGCACAUUGCGCCCCCUGGCAUUCCGGGGGGCAUGCCUGUCCGAGCGUCAUUGCUGCCCUUCAAGCCCGGCUUGUGUGUUGGGUCGUCGUCCCCUCCGGGGGACGGGCCCGAAAGGCAGCGGCGGCACCGCGUCCGGUCCUCGAGCGUAUGGGGCUUUGUCACCCGCUCGAUAAGGACCGGCCGGGCGCCAGCCGGCGUCUCCAACCUUUUUUUCUCAGGUUGACCUCGGAUCAGGUAGGAAUACCCGCUGAACUUAAGC
RNAcentral lists this unclassified non-coding RNA (315 nucleotides) under plant metagenome. RNAcentral describes it as "partial contains 5.8S ribosomal RNA, internal transcribed spacer 2, and large subunit ribosomal RNA". The stretch from base 1 to 105 matches the Rfam family "5.8S ribosomal RNA", at positions 50 to 154 of the family's 154-position model. The record is from RNAcentral.